This 450-nucleotide ribosomal RNA is filed under the name uncultured bacterium. RNAcentral describes it as "partial 16S ribosomal RNA". It matches the Rfam family "Bacterial small subunit ribosomal RNA", at positions 354 to 796 of the family's 1533-position model. The record is from RNAcentral.
GUGGGGAAUCUUCCGCAAUGGACGAAAGUCUGACGGAGCAACGCCGCGUGAGUGAUGAAGGUCUUCGGAUUGUAAAGCUCUGUUAAUCGGGACGAAAGAGCCUAGUGUGAAUAAUGCUAGGAAGUGACGGUACCGGAAUAGAAAGCCACGGCUAACUACGUGCCAGCAGUCGCGGUAAUACGUAGGUGGCAAGCGUUGUCCGGAAUUAUUGGGCGUAAAGCGCGCGCAGGCGGAUCUGCCAGUCUGUCUUAAAAGUUCGGGGCUUAACCCCGUGAUGGGAUGGAAACUACAGAUCUAGAGUAUCGGAGAGGAAAGUGGAAUUCCUAGUGUAGCGGUGAAAUGCGUAGAUAUUAGGAAGAACACCAGUGGCGAAGGCGACUUUCUGGACGAAAACUGACGCUGAGGCGCGAAAGCCAGGGGAGCGAACGGGAUUAGAUACCCCAGUAGUCC